AGAGUUUGAUCCUGGCUCAGGAAGAACGCUGGCGGCGCGCCUAACACAUGCAAGUCGAACGAGCGAGAGAGAGCUUGCUUUCUCGAGCGAGUGGCGAACGGGUGAGUAACGCGUGAGGAACCUGCCUCAAAGAGGGGGACAACAGUUGGAAACGACUGCUAAUACCGCAUAAGCCCACGGGUCGGCAUCGACCAGAGGGAAAAGGAGCAAUCCGCUUUGAGAUGGCCUCGCGUCCGAUUAGCUAGUUGGUGAGGUAACGGCCCACCAAGGCGACGAUCGGUAGCCGGACUGAGAGGUUGAACGGCCACAUUGGGACUGAGACACGGCCCAGACUCCUACGGGAGGCAGCAGUGGGGAAUAUUGCACAAUGGGGGAAACCCUGAUGCAGCGACGCCGCGUGGAGGAAGAAGGUCUUCGGAUUGUAAACUCCUGUUGUUGAGGAAGAUAAUGACGGUACUCAACAAGGAAGUGACGGCUAACUACGUGCCAGCGGCCGCGGUAAAACGUAGGUCACAAGCGUUGUCCGGAAUUACUGGGUGUAAAGGGAGCGCAGGCGGGAAGACAAGUUGGAAGUGAAAUCCAUGGGCUUAACCCAUGAACUGCUUUCAAAACUGUUUUUCUUGAGUAGUGCAGAGGUAGGCGGAAUUCCCGGUGUAGCGGUGGAAUGCGUAGAUAUCGUGAGGAACACCAGUGGCGAAGGCGGCCUACUGGGCACCAACUGACGCUGAGGCUCGAAAGUGUGGGUAGCAAACAGGAUUAGAUACCCUGGUAGUCCACACUGUAAACGAUGAUUACUAGGUGUUGGAGGAUUGACCCCUUCAGUGCCGCAGUUAACACAAUAAGUAAUCCACCUGGGGAGUACGACCGCAAGGUUGAAACUCAAAGGAAUUGACGGGGGCCCGCACAAGCAGUGGAGUAUGUGGUUUAAUUCGACGCAACGCGAAGAACCUUACCAAGUCUUGACAUCCGUUGACCGCUGUAGAAAUACAGUUUUCCUUCGGGACAGCGAGACAGGUGGUGCAUGGUUGUCGUCAGCUCGUGUCGUGAGAUGUUGGGUUAAGUCCCGCAACGAGCGCAACCCUUAUGGUCAGUUACUACGCAAGAGGACUCUGGCCAGACUGCCGUUGACAAAACGGAGGAAGGUGGGGAUGACGUCAAAUCAUCAUGCCCUUUAUGACUUGGGCUACACACGUACUACAAUGGCGUUAAACAAAGAGAAGCAAGACCGCGAGGUGGAGCAAAACUCAGAAACAACGUCCCAGUUCGGACUGCAGGCUGCAACUCGCCUGCACGAAGUCGGAAUUGCUAGUAAUCGUGGAUCAGCAUGCCACGGUGAAUACGUUCCCGGGCCUUGUACACACCGCCCGUCACACC
Molecule: ribosomal RNA, 1374 nt
Filed under: metagenome
Description: bacterial SSU rRNA
Rfam family: Bacterial small subunit ribosomal RNA
Source: RNAcentral